UGGGGAAUAUUGCACAAUGGGCGAAAGCCUGAUGCAGCAACGCCGCGUGAGUGAUGAAGGUCUUCGGAUUGUAAAGCUCUGUCUUUUGGGACGAUAAUGGACGGUACCAAAGGAGGAAGCCACGGCUAACUACGUGCCAGCAGCCGCGGUAAUACGUAGGUGGCGAGCGUUGUCCGGAUUUACUGGGCGUAAAGGGUGCGUAGGCGGAUGUUUAAGUGAGAUGUGAAAUACCCGGGCUUAACUUGGGUGCUGCAUUUCAAACUGGAUAUCUAGAGUGCAGGAGAGGAGAAUGGAAUUCCUAGUGUAGCGGUGAAAUGCGUAGAGAUUAGGAAGAACACCAGUGGCGAAGGCGAUUCUCUGGACUGUAACUGACGCUGAGGCACGAAAGCGUGGGUAGCAAACAGGAUUAGAUACCCUGGGUAGUCCACGCCGUAAACGAUGAGUACUAGGUGUAGGAGGUAUCGACCCCUUCU
RNAcentral lists this ribosomal RNA (473 nucleotides) under uncultured bacterium. RNAcentral describes it as "partial 16S ribosomal RNA". It matches the Rfam family "Bacterial small subunit ribosomal RNA", at positions 355 to 842 of the family's 1533-position model. The record is from RNAcentral.